This 253-nucleotide ribosomal RNA is filed under the name uncultured bacterium. RNAcentral's name for it is "partial 16S ribosomal RNA". It matches the Rfam family "Bacterial small subunit ribosomal RNA", at positions 524 to 776 of the family's 1533-position model. The record is from RNAcentral.
UACGGAGGGUGCAAGCGUUAUCCGGAUUCACUGGGUUUAAAGGGUGCGUAGGCGGGUAAGUAAGUCCGUGGUGAAAUCUCUGAGCUUAACUCAGAAACUGCCGUGGAUACUAUUUGCCUUGAAUAUUGUGGAGGUGAGCGGAAUAUGUCAUGUAGCGGUGAAAUGCUUAGAUAUGACAUAGAACACCAAUUGCGAAGGCAGCCCGCUACACGGUUAUUGACACUGAGGCACGAAAGCGUGGGGAGCAAACGGG